This is a long non-coding RNA of Homo sapiens (human), 1444 nucleotides long. Lineage: Eukaryota; Metazoa; Chordata; Mammalia; Primates; Hominidae. The record is from Ensembl.
CACUAACCUUGGCACUGGAUGCCCUGGGCAUUGGAUGAGAAUUUUGUACUCACUGUUGCUGAGGGCAGCCUCCGAACCCACCGCGUAUAUUUAUUGCUUCUUUUCAUUCUCAUCUCCUGCUGGACUCAGGGUGUCCAAAGACACCUCAGGGAAAGACGCUCCAGGCUGAUGACAAUGGGCGUGGAUGGUCCAGGAGAGGUGGUCACCGCCAGGGUAGAGGUGAAAAGCUAGAUUUGUACCAUUUCCAAGACUAUGGAGUUGCUGGAAACAGUUGCUGUGAAUUCACUGGGACAGUAAGGGAGCAGGGUCAUGUGAGGUUAAGUGGACUUGCCCAAGGCUUGACCCUCUGCUGCCACUCUGGUUUCAUAGGUACCUCAGGCAUUAGAGCUGCCUAGUGAGAAGAGACCGUCUGCACAGCCUCGGGGCAGAUGAUUUGGGAGGACUAGAGGCAGAGGUGUUGAUCUCACUGUUCCUAGAUCUGCAGAGCUGAUGAUGGAUUUGGGGAAGGCUCCCAUCAUCUUCCUUCCAGGUGAAAUAUUCAGAGUGCUUAUACCUGGAUGUCUCACUACAGAUACUGCAGAAAAGAAUGAGGCCCUGUACAGUUCACAGCAAUAAAGGCUACAUGAAUUGAGUGCCAUAAGGGAGAAAUAAGCAGGCUGAGCUGACCCAGGGAGGCUUCUCAGAGAAGGUGUUUUCAGGAAUCACCCCAAGUCACAAAUGGGAGGCCUCAGCACCCAAGAGGAUGAAAUCAGCCCAGGAUCAUGCCAGCCCGUGCCACCCACAGCCACUGAAGUGCUUGUCUGAGUCUUGCUGGAAACAUGGGCCCAUGUUAGUGAUUAUGAGCCUUGCAGCAGCAGACUCAAAGCUUUCUCUGCUGAGAAGUUUCCAGCAGUUCCAUCAGUGCGAGCCGGGAACUGAUGACCUGAACGACCUGGAGCAUGGUGAGAUCCCUGCUGCUGGGGGUUUUGGGAGAGGCCAGGCUACCUCUCUGAGCUGCUGGCAAGCGAUUCUGAGUUUGGGGCAGAGGGCAUGCCCCCAUGACCUUCCAUGUGGGCUGAUGCGCCCAGCUCUGACCCUACUGAGUCAGCUCCUGUCUGUAUGUUCCCAACUUUAAAAGCCAGGCUCUCACUUUUCCUCUGCCUUUUUGCUUUUCCUGUUUCCUUGCUGAUUCAGGCUGUGGGUAGAGAUAGUUCCUUGUGCCUGUAGGACAGAGGUCCCUGUUUUCCUUGCUGUCUGUCAGGGUAGGGCUGUUCCCAGCUUCUCGAAGGGCCCACAUUCCUUUGUUUGCAGCUUUUCUCUGUCUUCAAACCAGCAAAUGUGACCCAGUCCCUCUCACCUGUGAGUCUCUACUUCUUUGCUCCUCUCUUUCUUCCAACUGGGAAGGGAGUGCCAUUGUAAUUACAAUGGGCCCACCUGGAUGACCCAGGCUAGUCAGUUGCUGUAU